GUUUGGUCUGUCUCUGGUGGGGUUGGUCUCGUCUGGUGGGGUUUGGUCUCUGGUGGGGCUGGUCUCUGGUGUGGUUGGUCUCUGGUGGGGUUGGUCUGUCUCUGGUGGGGUUGGUCUGUCUCUGGUGGGGUUGGUCAGGAGAAGGCCACACACCACGGGCCAGACUGUGUAUGGUAGGGGUGGGACCAAGGUGCCACUGAGCUUUUACGUUUAGGUGGCAAAGAAGAUGAUGUCAUUCAUAAAAGCAGGAAGGCAUUAGUUCAUUUGAGGAACAGAAAGAGUGCAGUGCAUCUGAUGAGCGGGGAGAGGCGUUUCAGAUGAAGAGACAGGCUGGGACCAGGUCAUGUAGCCUGGUAGUCUCUUGGGGAAUUAUUCCAAGAACAAUGGGAAGCCCUCAGAGGGCCAGGCAGGAGGUUCUGGGUCUGGUUUGUCUUUGAAAAUUAUGCGUAGCACACAGAUUUAAGGGGGCCGGAGGCCAGGCAUGGUGGCUCACGCCUGUAAUCCCAGCACUUUGGGAGGCGGAGGAGGGCAGAUCAUGAGGUCGGGAGUUCGAGACCAGCCUGGCCAACAUGGUGAAACCCCAUCUCUACUAAAAAUACAAAAAUUAGCCCGGCAUGGUGGUGCACAUCUGUAAUCCCAGCUACUUGGGAGGCUGACGCAGGAGAAUUGCUUGAACCCAUGAGGCGGAGGUUGCGGUGAGCAGAGACCACGCCAUUGCACUCCAGGCUGGGUGACAAGAGCAAGACUCCCUCUCAAAAAAAAAAAGCAGGGAGGGUGGCUGGGGGGCAGGAAUGGGACCAGGAGACCAGUGACGGGCCAAAGUAGUUUAGAGAUGGUGGUGACUUUGAGUGGUGGUGGAGAAGAAGAAGGGGGCAGAUUCCAUAGCUGUCUUGAAGGCAGAAGUGUCAGGAUUUGCCGUGGGAGGAAGGGAGAAGGAGGUGAAGGUAGUGCCCAGGCUUGGGGCUGCGCAAGGCAUGGUGCUGGCCUCCACUGAGAUGGGGAGAUGGAGAACACCUUCUGGAGUAGGUAGAAACCAGUUUUGUUCUGGCUGUCUUCUGCUGUGGCACUCAUCUGUAGCCACCAAGUAGGUGGCUGAGGAUGCACACUGAAACUUCCUAAAGAGAGAAACGAACAUGUACCUUUGUGGGUUAUCAACGUGCCCCCAUACUUAAGAGUGUGGGGCCGGGCGUGGUGGCUCACGCCUGUAAUCCCAGCACUUUGGGAGGCCGUGGCGGGUGGAUCACGAGGUCAGGAGAUGGAGACCAUCCUGGCUAACAUGGUGAAACCCCGUCUUUACUAAAAAAUACAAAAAAUUAGCCAGGCAUGGCGGCACGAGCCUGUAGUCCCAGCUAGUCGGGAGGCUGAGGCAGGAGAAUGGCGUGAACCCGGGAGGCGGAGCUUACAGUGAGCCGAGAUCGCACCACUGCACUCCAGCCUGGGCAACAGAGCCAGACUCCGUCUCAAAAAAAAAAAAAAAAAAAAAAAGAGUGUGGAUGGAGGAGCAGCUCUGAUCAGUGAGGAGGAGGGGCAGGGAGGUGGAAGGAAACCUGGGAGAGGGGCCACCAUAGUCCCAGGAAAGACUUGAAGGACGGUGUGGUCAGCUGUGUCGGAUACCGCUGAGAGGACCAGUCAGACAAGCGCAGAGGAAAGCCCGGUGGACUUGGGCACGUGAGGUCGCCGGCGAAGCUGACAAGAGCAGGCUUGUGAACUGCUUGAGGAUGGGUGGAGCAGCACUGGGAGCAGCGGCAGGAGGUGAGGCAGUGGCUGGACAAGAUGCAGCCCCGGGUGCGAGCAUGCUUGUCCGCAGAGGGAGUGACUCCGUGGGGAGGGAGAGCCAAUGAUGCUGACGAGGGGAGGCAGCAAAGGAGGGGUCCAGGCCGGGUACGGUGGCUCAUGCUUGUAAUGCCAGCACUAUGGGAGGCCGAGGCAGGAGAAUCACUGGAGCCCAGGAGUUCGAGACCAGCCUAGGUAACAUAGGGAAACCCUGUGUCAAUCAGUCAAUCAGUGAGUGGUCCUGCACAGCCCAGGCUCUCUGAUUAAUGCUGCCACCACAGUUCCCAUCCGCUGGGUUUGAAGGGAAAGUGAAACUUCCAAAUCCCACAAAGGCCCUGGCUCCUGAGCCUCACCUCUUUGAUUGAGUGUAAAUUAUUCCCACUUGGCUUCUCAUUUUAUUGUCACAACAAGCCCUGUGAGUUUCAGGGGAUUAAAUGAGCUGCAUAAGCACCAGCUGAGUGCUAGUAAGUGGCAAAGCCACGAUUUGAAGCCAGGUCUGAGCUGUCUCCAGAGCACUUCCUCUCAAUCCCCAUGUCAUACUGCUUCCCGCAGGCUUCUUACUUCGAGCAGUCUUAGGAUCAGGUCACCUGCAAUCUCUGUUCCCAAGGGGAUGGAUUAGGCAGGCAGAUGGGAUUCCUUCCCAAUCAUUGUUUCUUAUGGGCAAUUCCUACCUCUAGUACUUUCGAGACAAACUUAAUAUCAGUCCUCCAGGCUUCCUUCCUACCCAGGAAUGAUGCUUUUUGAGCGUUUCCUCACAUGCCUGACGGUCUACUUACAUGCCGCCAGAGACAGAAAGCUCACUAUCUCCAUGAGUAACCCAUUCUAGGCAGUAGGCUUUGCAUGACAGCUUAGAGUCUAUGCUCUUAAGUUGCUUUGGCUGAAUCUCAGUUCUGCUGCCUACUAGCAUCCUGUGCUUCAGUUUCCUCACCUGUAAAAUGGUAAUAACAGCCUGGCACAGUGGUCCAUCCCUC
RNAcentral lists this long non-coding RNA (2744 nucleotides) under Homo sapiens (human). RNAcentral describes it as "HSALNT0096189". The record is from RNAcentral. Lineage: Eukaryota; Metazoa; Chordata; Mammalia; Primates; Hominidae.